ACAAUGGUGGCUACCAGUGGUAGAUUUGAAAAUGAGAGGAGUAGCAAAGAACAAAAAGAACAGACCAGGAUUGCCAGGGCCGAGGAGUUGCGCCAGGCUAAAGCCAAUUUUGAAAAGGAAGAAAGGUGUAAAGAACUUAAACGACUUUGGGGUGAGGAUACAUGGAUGCUACCUGAUGUGAAUGAGCCAAUUGAACAGUUCUCACAGGAACACUCUCUGAAGAAAAAGAAGAAAAAAGAUAAACACUCAAAAAAAGUAAAGAAAGAGAAGAAAAAAAAGAGUAGGAAACAGAAGUAUGAAAAAAGCAAUGAGUCAACAGAUAGUUCAUCAAGCUCUGAAGACGAGUGGGUUGAGGCUGUCCCAUUGCAGAUUCCUGGCAGAGAAAAGGCCUGGAAAGUGAAAGGUGAAAAUUCAGAAAGAGAAGACAACUCAGUUAUUCAGAGAGAUGAGUGGAUGAUGGUUGAUUUUAUGUCUGUUAAAACUGUGUCCUUAUCAUCACUCAAAGCUGACAAGGAGGCUAUGAGGAAAAUAGAGCAAGAGAAAACCCAAGCCCUGGAACAGUCCAGACUGCUGGAGAGAGAAUUGAAUCCAUACUGGAAAGAUGGUGGGACAGGUCUUCCACCAGAAGACUGUAACGUGUCAUCACUUACCAAAGUUUCAGUAGUAGAAGAUGGUGGCUUAAGCUGGUUGAGGAAGUCUUACCAAAGAAUGAAGGAACAAGCUGAGAAACAGAAUAGAAAUUUUGAAGACAUUGUGACUGAAAGAUACAGGUCAUUGGAAGUAUUUCAGUCAAAAUUAGAAGAAGCUGAAAAAACUGCAUCCACAAAAGAAGAUUAUAAAUGAGAACGGUGGAGGAAACCAGCAUACUCAGAUAAAGCACAAAGUAGUCAAGAAAGUAGAAAAUCAGACUUGGUAAAAUAUAAUAAAAAUUUAAGGGAUAGAUACAGUUCAACAGAUACUACAAACACCACCAAUAAAGAUAAGUCUAGUGGUGAUGAAAAAAAUAAUAGGUUUGGGUCUUUAGAAACCUGUAGAAGACAAUCCAAUCCAAGGCAAAAUCAAGACUUUUCUUCUCUUGGAAAUUUGAAACCUAAAUUUUUAAGACCCUCUGAUGAUGAAGAACUGUCAUUUCAUAGCAAGGGCAGAAAUUUUGAACCUUCUAGUUCAUCUUCAGCAUUGGUUGCUCAGGAUUCUGUGCGUUAUGGUUUUCGAAAACCCACAGAAAACAGUGAAGAAAGUUCUUCAUCGUGGAACCGAUCCAACGGAAGAGAAGGAGACAGGAAAUGUUCAUAUCGAAGAUCAUUAGAAACUAGGGGCGAUGUGGACUCUGGGCACAUUUCAGAAGACGUGAGAGAAAAAUCACAAGAUGAAAGCCUGAGAGAUGACUCUCUGAAGAAAGAGCAUCUACAGGACACAAAGUCUGCAUUUGCCGGAGGUGGUCCUGAGGAUGAUUCCAUCCACAUCCUGAGUGUUGAUGAGAAGAAUAAAUUGGGAGCCAGGAUUAUCAAGGCAGAGAUGAUGGGAAAUAUGGAAUUAGCAGAAUGACUUAAAGCUCAACUUGAAAAGGCAAAUAAAUUCAAAGGAACAGAUAUCCUCAAAAGAAUCUGGGGUAGGGAAUGAAGACCAAGAAGCAAUCCUCGUCAGAACAGAUCAGUCUGGAAGAGUGUGGCCUGUGCAUACACCAGGAAAAUCUCUGGAAUGUAAAGGAGGAAGAAGGAAGAGACAGAUGGUGUGUUUAACAGAGGCUUCAACCCAUGAAGAAAAAGAAAGGGUUAGAUACUUUCAUGAUGAUGAUAAUCUCAGCCUAAAUGAUUUAGUCAAGAAUGAAAAGAUGGGAACAGCAGAAAAUCAAAACAAACUUUUUAUGAGGAUGGCAUCUAAGUUUAUGGGAAAAACAGAUGGAGACUAUUACACUCUCGAUGACCUGUUUGUCUCCAAAGCAGCUGAGAAAGAACGUUCUGGUGAAGAGGAAGAGAACCAGAGGAGGAAAGCAAUUGCCGAGCACCAGAGUCUGGCUGCACAAAUGGAAAGAUGUCUGUAUUGUUUGGACAGCUCUCAGUUUCCCAAGCACCUCAUUGUUGCCAUAGGUGUUAAGGUUUAUUUAUGUUUACCCAACUUCCGAUCUCUCACCGAGGGGCACUGCCUGAUAGUCCCUUUGCAGCACCACAGAGCGGCCACCUUACUGGAUGAAGACAUCUGGGAGGAAAUUCAGAUGUUCCAAAAAUCAUUGGUAAAGAUGUUUGAAGAUAAAGGACUGGACUGCAUCUUUUUAGAAACACACAUGGGCAUGAAGAAGCAUUGUCAUAUGGUUUAUGAGUGCAUCCCUCUCCCAAAGGAAGUGGGUGAGAUAGCUCCCAUCUAUUUUAAGAAAGCCAUAAUGGAAUCUGAUGAAGAAUGGUCCAUGAACAAGAAAUUGAUUGAUCUCUCUUCAAAAGAUAUCAGAAAAUCUGUACCCAGAGGCUUACCUUACUUCGCUGUGGAUUUUGACCUCCAAGGAGGGUUUGCCCAUGUCAUUGAAUAUCAACACAAAUUCCCUCAUUACUUUGGAAAGGAAAUCAUUGGUGGGAUGCUGGAUAUAGAACCAAGACUCUGGAGGAAAGGGAUCCGGGAAAGCUUUGAGGAUCAGAGGAAGAAAGCCUUGCAGUUUGCUCAGUGGUGGAAACCAUUCGACUUCACCAAAAGUAAAAAAUGUUGAGUCAUACGUUUCAUUUUUUAAAUUUCUUCUUCAGAUUCCUUUCAGUUUUACUUCCAUUGUGUCUGACUAGACCACUGACCCUCAGGCCAGAGGGAGAGAAAGUCCCACUCUGGGUCUCAGACACCCGGGCAUCACUGGA
Leptonychotes weddellii (Weddell seal) is the source of this 2834-nucleotide non-coding RNA. Lineage: Eukaryota; Metazoa; Chordata; Mammalia; Carnivora; Phocidae. The record is from RefSeq and is a predicted model, not a curated record.